This 369-nucleotide ribosomal RNA is filed under the name uncultured bacterium. RNAcentral describes it as "bacterial SSU rRNA". It matches the Rfam family "Bacterial small subunit ribosomal RNA", at positions 9 to 372 of the family's 1533-position model. The record is from RNAcentral.
GAGUUUGAUCGUGGCUCAGGAUGAACGCUAGCGACAGGCUUAACACAUGCAAGUCGAGGGGCAGCGAGGGCGUAGCAAUACGCCUGUCGGCGACCGGCGCACUGGUGAGUAACACGUAUGCGACCUGCCCCCUACAGGGGUAUAACCCGUAGAAAUGCGGACUAAUCCCCCAUAGUCCUGGGUGCUGCAUGGCAUUCAGGGGAAAGGCCAGCCGGUAGGGGAUGGGCAUGCGGCGCAUUAGCUAGUUGGCGGGGCAACGGCCCACCAAGGCGACGAUGCGUAGGGGUUCUGAGAGGAAGGUCCCCCCAACUGGUACUGAGACACGGACCAGACUCCUACGGGAGGCAGCAGUGAGGAAUAUUGGUCAAU